Molecule: ribosomal RNA, 485 nt
Filed under: uncultured bacterium
Lineage: Bacteria
Description: bacterial SSU rRNA
Rfam family: Bacterial small subunit ribosomal RNA
Source: RNAcentral
GAUGAACGCUAGCGGCAGGCCUAACACAUGCAAGUCAGGGGUAACAGAGAGUGCUUGCACUUUGCUGACGACCGGCGCACGGGUGCGUAACGCGUAUGCAACCUACCUUCUACAGGGGGAUAGCCCAGAGAAAUUUGGAUUAAUACCCCAUACGAUCUAUAAUUGGCAUCAAUAAUAGAGGAAAACUUCGGUGGUAGAAGAUGGGCAUGCGUCCUAUUAGUUAGUUGGUGAGGUAACGGCUCACCAAGACAUCGAUAGGUAGGGGCCCUGAGAGGGGGAUCCCCCACACUGGUACUGAGACACGGACCAGACUCCUACGGGAGGCAGCAGUGAGGAAUAUUGGACAAUGGAGGCAACUCUGAUCCAGCCAUGCCGCGUGCAGGAAGACUGCCCUAUGGGUUGUAAACUGCUUUUGUACAGGAAGAAACCUACUUACGUGUAAGUAGUUGACGGUACUGUAAGAAUAAGGAUCGGCUAACUCCGUG